GAAAGCGAUGCUAAUACCGGAUAAUAUCUUAAAAACCUCGGUUUUAAAGAUCAAAGGUGGCCUCUACAUGUAAGCUACUGUUUGAGGAUGAGCCCGCGUACCAUUAGCUUGUUGGUAGGGUAACGGCCUACCAAGGCUGCGAUGGUUAGCUGGUCUGAGAGGAUGAUCAGCCACACUGGAACUGACACACGGUCCAGACUCCUACGGGAGGCAGCAGUGAGGAAUUUUGCGCAAUGGGGGAAACCCUGACGCAGCAACGCCGCGUGAGUGAUGAAGGCUUUAGGGUCGUAAAGCUCUGUCAAGUGGGAAGAACCCACAUGGUGAUAAUACCCCAUGUGUUGACGGUACCACUGAAGGAAGCACCGGCUAACUCCGUGCCAGCAGCCGCGGUAAUACGGGGGGUGCAAGCGUUAUUCGGAAUUACUGGGCGUAAAAAGCGCGUAAGCGGUCUCUUAAGUCGGAUGUGAAAG
RNAcentral lists this ribosomal RNA (470 nucleotides) under uncultured bacterium. Its description in RNAcentral is "bacterial SSU rRNA". It matches the Rfam family "Bacterial small subunit ribosomal RNA", at positions 153 to 600 of the family's 1533-position model. The record is from RNAcentral.